Molecule: ribosomal RNA, 387 nt
Filed under: uncultured bacterium
Lineage: Bacteria
Description: bacterial SSU rRNA
Rfam family: Bacterial small subunit ribosomal RNA
Source: RNAcentral
AAUGGGGGAAACCCUGAUGCAGCAACGCCGCGUGAAGGAUGAAGGUUUUCGGAUUGUAAACUUCUUUAGUCGGGGACGAAUAAAUGACGGUACCCGAAGAAUAAGCCACGGCUAACUACGUGCCAGCAGCCGCGGUAAUACGUAGGUGGCGAGCGUUGUCCGGAUUUACUGGGUGUAAAGGGCGUGUAGGCGGGUCUGCAAGUCAGAUGUGAAAUUCCAGGGCUCAACCCUGGAGCUGCAUCUGAAACUGUGGAUCUUGAGUGCUGGAGAGGAAAGCGGAAUUCCUAGUGUAGCGGUGAAAUGCGUAGAUAUUAGGAGGAACACCAGUGGCGAAGGCGGCUUUCUGGACAGUAACUGACGCUGAGGCGCGAAAGCGUGGGGAGCGAA